AAAUUGAAGAGUUUGAUCAUGGCUCAGAUUGAACGCUGGCGGCAGGCCUAACACAUGCAAGUCGAACGGUAACAGGAAGCAGCUUGCUGCUUUGCUGACGAGUGGCGGACGGGUGAGUAAUGUCUGGGAAACUGCCCGAUGGAGGGGGAUAACUACUGGAAACGGUGGCUAAUACCGCAUAACGUCGCAAGACCAAAGAGGGGG
This 204-nucleotide ribosomal RNA is filed under the name Salmonella enterica subsp. enterica serovar Schwarzengrund. Its description in RNAcentral is "partial 16S ribosomal RNA". It matches the Rfam family "Bacterial small subunit ribosomal RNA", at positions 1 to 210 of the family's 1533-position model. The record is from RNAcentral. Lineage: Bacteria; Pseudomonadati; Pseudomonadota; Gammaproteobacteria; Enterobacterales; Enterobacteriaceae.